Molecule: ribosomal RNA, 855 nt
Filed under: Escherichia coli
Lineage: Bacteria; Pseudomonadati; Pseudomonadota; Gammaproteobacteria; Enterobacterales; Enterobacteriaceae
Description: partial 23S ribosomal RNA
Rfam family: Bacterial large subunit ribosomal RNA
Source: RNAcentral
CCGGGGGUAGAGCACUGUUUCGGCAAGGGGGUCAUCCCGACUUACCAACCCGAUGCAAACUGCGAAUACCGGAGAAUGUUAUCACGGGAGACACACGGCGGGUGCUAACGUCCGUCGUGAAGAGGGAAACAACCCAGACCGCCAGCUAAGGUCCCAAAGUCAUGGUUAAGUGGGAAACGAUGUGGGAAGGCCCAGACAGCCAGGAUGUUGGCUUAGAAGCAGCCAUCAUUUAAAGAAAGCGUAAUAGCUCACUGGUCGAGUCGGCCUGCGCGGAAGAUGUAACGGGGCUAAACCAUGCACCGAAGCUGCGGCAGCGACGCUUAUGCGUUGUUGGGUAGGGGAGCGUUCUGUAAGCCUGCGAAGGUGUGCUGUGAGGCAUGCUGGAGGUAUCAGAAGUGCGAAUGCUGACAUAAGUAACGAUAAAGCGGGUGAAAAGCCCGCUCGCCGGAAGACCAAGGGUUCCUGUCCAACGUUAAUCGGGGCAGGGUGAGUCGACCCCUAAGGCGAGGCCGAAAGGCGUAGUCGAUGGGAAACAGGUUAAUAUUCCUGUACUUGGUGUUACUGCGAAGGGGGGACGGAGAAGGCUAUGUUGGCCGGGCGACGGUUGUCCCGGUUUAAGCGUGUAGGCUGGUUUUCCAGGCAAAUCCGGAAAAUCAAGGCUGAGGCGUGAUGACGAGGCACUACGGUGCUGAAGCAACAAAUGCCCUGCUUCCAGGAAAAGCCUCUAAGCAUCAGGUAACAUCAAAUCGUACCCCAAACCGACACAGGUGGUCAGGUAGAGAAUACCAAGGCGCUUGAGAGAACUCGGGUGAAGGAACUAGGCAAAAUGGUGCCGUAACUUCGGGAGAAGGCACG